UGGAGUUCUACAUAAACUAUUCCUUG
This 26-nucleotide transfer RNA is filed under the name Tursiops truncatus (common bottlenose dolphin). Its description in RNAcentral is "partial tRNA-Pro". Lineage: Eukaryota; Metazoa; Chordata; Mammalia; Artiodactyla; Delphinidae. The record is from RNAcentral.